RNAcentral lists this non-coding RNA (66 nucleotides) under Burkholderia sp. Its description in RNAcentral is "Fluoride sequence". It matches the Rfam family "Fluoride riboswitch aptamer (crcB RNA motif)". The record is from RNAcentral. Lineage: Bacteria; Pseudomonadati; Pseudomonadota; Betaproteobacteria; Burkholderiales; Burkholderiaceae.
AGCUGAAACGGAGAUGGCAUUCCUCCAAAACCGCCGGUAUCUCCGGCUGAUGAUGCCUACGGAUUC